UAAAUUUCUAUACGUGCAUGGAGCAUUUUCGGUUCCAUGGUCUUCAUGGAAUCAACUAAUCUCCUUUUAUUCAACCACCACAUGUACAUGUACGUGGCUGCAAUUCUUGCAUGGAGAAAGAAUUCGACAAGGUUGCAUGGUGAUCGAUGAGGAAGAACGACAUGCAAGGUUGUUGUAUAAUCCUGGUCACAUCUUCAUUUGCUCGAGGGGUACACAAUUGGACAGCUAAAAAAUUAUCAUAAAAGAUAUCUUGUCGACACAUCUUAUGGAAUAAACCUCAGUCUCACUUCAAUGUAAGGAAGAUUUUUAAUAAGACUAUAAUUUCUUCAACGAUCAGGCCAUUACUAAACGUGACAUAUCAAUCCGAUAAUGAUAACAAAACGAUGUCCAUUGUGGUGUCAAUAACACUGUCCGACGAUACUUCCAUUGCUUAGUCACGGACCAUCGCAUAUCCGAGGGUCGUCAAAAUUUCCGAAUGCCACAUCCUGCUCCGUCAGGCAUGGCAUCAUCCUGCGUAUUCAUACGCAUUAGGAUGGCAUUCCAAUAAGGAGUAUCGGUCCGGCCUCUACAGCGACUCGGCAUCCAUUGACGUGGGGCAUCUGAACUUAACCAGGCAUCGUCCCGCAUAUUCAUACGCAUCAAGAUGGGUUCGUUACCCCGCAUAAUCAUACGCAUCAAGGUAUUUAGGUAAUCACACGAGCACACCAUCAAUCAAACCACUUUUUAUUGCCGUUAUUAGCCAGGAAAACCAAAAUCCCUUUUUAAAUGAUAAAACUUAUAACUCCCUUUUUUUUGUUCAAAACCUUACAAAAUAAAUUCGUACAGGGUCACGUAUUUGAAAUUAACCCGCCAAACUUUGCACGCAUUUAGUAUAAAACCUCCUCAUUUUAUUGAGCACAUAAAAUUUGGCGUCCAAACCCGACACCUCAUUUAUUUUCUAUUUUCUUUUCCAACCACCCCUUUUUGGAACUAAACUUGGGUAAUCCCCUUUUUUUUUCUUUAAAACUUUUGGAAAGAAAUUCGUAGGUGCUUACGUGCUCAAAAUUAAUCCGUCAAACUUUACAUGCACCUAGUUUAAAACCUUAUUGUUUUAUCGAGCAAAUAAGUUUUGGUGUUCAAACCCGACACCUCAUUGUUUUUCUAAUUAAUUGCCCAUAAUGCCAUCUUUUGCAAUAAUAAUAAUCAAUCACCAUAGAACAACCAUUCACAUAAUAUCACGCAUAAAUUCUAAGCAUGCAAAAAAUCACCCAAAUCACAAAACAUACAUUUUCCAUCAGGCGAGAUACCAAGAACAACCACAAAACCACAAUCGGCCCUAACUGACAGAAAACGGGUCCACUCGUGCGUCUCUAAGUUUAAUUCCAGAAACAUAACCAAAAGAGUUCAAAAAAUUCUCAAAUUUGAAUAUAUUAUAAAAGACAUUUAAGUGAACACAUUUCAUGAAGACACCUUGACCACAUCUUUCUAGAAUAAGAUCAGCAAAUAGUCCAAACCGUUAUCAAAACUGUGUCCGUGUCUAGAAAUUAUGUUUUCCAAAACUAGUUUGGUUUGAGGUCCAAAACUCGUCUGUUUGAUCUAAAAUUUGAUUAUGUUAAACUAAAAAAUGUGAUGAACAACUUUUGUGAAGAAACUCUUUCAAAAAUCGAACCCUAAGAGUUGAUAAAAAUCUUUUAAACACCAAAAGGUCACGGGUUCUAGCACAAACCGAGAUUCUGUCUUGCCUGUAACAAAGCUGAAACCUUGUUCUUUUAAAUCCCUAAAAUCUUGAGUAAAUUAUAUGUCAUAGCUGAAGAUGCUUAAAACAUUUUUCAAGAAUGAAGCAACCUCAAAAUUGUAGCACAUUUUAACCCACAAAAAUAGCAAACGGCGAGUGUCCAGUAAAUAGAUCCGAAGUGAAGCUAAUCCAACUUAACACUAAUCUAAUCAGGCUAAUUAAUACUAAUCUAACCAAGUUAAUUAACACUAAUCUAACCACCUAAGUGCAAUUAAUAACCUAAUCAAGGAUUAUGGAGUUAAUUCAUCAGAUUAAGACAGCGGUGGGCUUACGACGACGGCAACGCGACGGCAAUGAGAACCCAAGACUAUCGUGUCUCGAACGGAGACUCGACGGCGGCUGGAUCAGUCCUACAAGUCUCGGCCAAGGAAGAGGGGGCUUCGGCUUGGGGCUAUUGUAGUGGCUACGGGGCUGCGGUGGAGGAGCUGGGCUUUGGUGGGACUAUUCAAUGGUCUCGAUGAAGGUGGCUAUGGUGGAUGGCAGUGAAACGAGUUGCUGGCGUGAAUGGUGCUGAAUUGAGACGUUGCUGGGGCGUGAGGUGUUGGAGGGUCGUGUUGGCGGCUGUGGUGUGGCCAAGGGGGGAGAUGGAGGUGCUGGUUGGUGGUGGGAUGAGGGAGUAAUGAAGAUGGGAUGAGGGGAUGAAGGUGGCGUUGGGGUGGGUGGAUGAGGGGAAAACGUGAGGGGAAGUGGGCGUGCGGCAGAAGGGAGAAGAAGAUGGGGCUGAGGGGAAAGAAAGAAUGGGUAGAGAGAGGGGGGCCUGAAUGUGAGAGAGAGGGAGGGAGAAAACCAUGAAGGUCAAGUGA
RNAcentral lists this long non-coding RNA (2577 nucleotides) under Eucalyptus grandis. RNAcentral describes it as "long non-coding RNA (EGRA_LNC002141)". Lineage: Eukaryota; Viridiplantae; Streptophyta; Magnoliopsida; Myrtales; Myrtaceae. The record is from RNAcentral.